RNAcentral lists this ribosomal RNA (1017 nucleotides) under uncultured marine bacterium. Its description in RNAcentral is "bacterial SSU rRNA". It matches the Rfam family "Bacterial small subunit ribosomal RNA", at positions 83 to 1135 of the family's 1533-position model. The record is from RNAcentral.
ACCUUCGGGUUAGUGGCGGACGGGUGAGUAACGCGUGGGAAUCUGCCCUCAGGAGGGGGAUAACGGCUGGAAACGGCCGCUAAUACCCCAUAUGCCGAGAGGUGAAAUGAAUUUCGCCUGAGGAUGAGCCCGCGUCUGAUUAGCUAGUUGGUGAGGUAAGAGCUCACCAAGGCAUCGAUCAGUAGCUGGUCUGAGAGGAUGAUCAGCCACACUGGGACUGAGACACGGCCCAGACUCCUACGGGAGGCAGCAGUGGGGAAUUUUCCGCAAUGGGCGAAAACCUGACGGAGCAACGCCGCGUGAGGGAUGAAGGCCUCUGGGCUGUAAACCUCUUUUCUCAAGGAAGAAGAUCUGACGGUACUUGAGGAAUAAGCCACGGCUAAUUCCGUGCCAGCAGCCGCGGUAAUACGGGAGUGGCAAGCGUUAUCCGGAAUUAUUGGGCGUAAAGCGCCCGCAGGCGGCCCUUCAAGUCUGCUGUUAAAACGUGGAGCUUAACUCCAUCAUGGCAGUGGAAACUGUUGGGCUUGAGUGUGGUAGGGGCAGAGGGAAUUCCCGGUGUAGCGGUGAAAUGCGUAGAUAUCGGGAAGAACACCAGUGGCGAAGGCGCUCUGCUGGGCCAUCACUGACGCUCAUGGACGAAAGCCAGGGGAGCGAAAGGGAUUAGAUACCCCUGUAGUCCUGGCCGUAAACGAUGAACACUAGGUGUCGGGGGAAUCGACCCCCUCGGUGUCGUAGCCAACGCGUUAAGUGUUCCGCCUGGGGAGUACGCACGCAAGUGUGAAACUCAAAGGAAUUGACGGGGGCCCGCACAAGCGGUGGAGUAUGUGGUUUAAUUCGAUGCAACGCGAAGAACCUUACCAGGGUUUGACAUCCUGCGAAUCUCUUGGAAACGAGAGAGUGCCUUCGGGAGCGCAGUGACAGGUGGUGCAUGGCUGUCCUCAGCUCGUGUCCUGAAAUGUUGGGUUAAGUCCCGCAACGAGCGCAACCCACGUCUUUAGUUGCCAGCAUUUAGUUGGG